Molecule: ribosomal RNA, 333 nt
Filed under: Clostridioides difficile
Lineage: Bacteria; Bacillati; Bacillota; Clostridia; Peptostreptococcales; Peptostreptococcaceae
Description: bacterial SSU rRNA
Rfam family: Bacterial small subunit ribosomal RNA
Source: RNAcentral
UUAUUUGAGAGUUUGAUCCUGGCUCAGGAUGAACGCUGGCGGCGUGCCUAACACAUGCAAGUUGAGCGAUUUACUUCGGUAAAGAGCGGCGGACGGGUGAGUAACGCGUGGGUAACCUACCCUGUACACACGGAUAACAUACCGAAAGGUAUGCUAAUACGGGAUAAUAUAUUUGAGAGGCAUCUCUUGAAUAUCAAAGGUGAGCCAGUACAGGAUGGACCCGCGUCUGAUUAGCUAGUUGGUAAGGUAACGGCUUACCAAGGCGACGAUCAGUAGCCGACCUGAGAGGGUGAUCGGCCACAUUGGAACUGAGACACGGUCCAAACUCCUACG